GUUAGCUCAGUCGGUAGAGCACGGGACUCUUAAUCCCGGGGUCGUGGGUUCGGGCGUCAAUGUUUUUACU
This is a non-coding RNA of Potamilus streckersoni, 70 nucleotides long. The record is from the annotation of a GenBank genome assembly. NCBI's taxonomy places the organism in Eukaryota, Metazoa, Mollusca, Bivalvia, Unionida, Unionidae.